Molecule: transfer RNA, 72 nt
Filed under: Ovis aries (sheep)
Lineage: Eukaryota; Metazoa; Chordata; Mammalia; Artiodactyla; Bovidae
Rfam family: tRNA
About the family: Transfer RNA (tRNA) molecules are approximately 80 nucleotides in length.
Source: Rfam by way of RNAcentral
UCCUGGGUGGCUCAGACGGUUAAGUGUCUGCCUAUAAUGCGGGAGACCCAGGUUCGCUCCCUGCCUCGGGAA